GGGCCCGCACAAGCAGCGGAGCAUGUGGUUUAAUUCGAAGCAACGCGAAGAACCUUACCAGAACUUGACAUCUCCUGCAUUACCCGUAAAUGGGGAAGUCCUUCGGGACAGGAAGACAGGUGGUGCAUGGUUGUCGUCAGCUCGUGUCGUGAGAUGUUGGGUUAAGUCCCGCAACGAGCGCAACCCUUAUUGUUAGUUGCUAACAUUUAGUUGAGCACUCUAAUGAGACUGCCGGGGACAACUCGGAGGAAGGUGGGGAUGACGUCAAAUCAUCAUGCCCCUUAUGUUCUGGGCUACACACGUGCUACAAUGGGCGCAACAACGGGAAGCAAGCUAGAGAUAGCAAGCAAAUCCCUAAAAAUCGCUCUCAGUUCAGACUGUAGGCUGAAACUCGCCUACACGAAGGCGGAGUUGCUAGUAAUCGCGGAUCAGCAUGCCGCGGUGAAUACGUUCCCGGGCCUU
Molecule: ribosomal RNA, 462 nt
Filed under: uncultured bacterium
Lineage: Bacteria
Description: bacterial SSU rRNA
Rfam family: Bacterial small subunit ribosomal RNA
Source: RNAcentral